UGUUACUUUGGCAGUGUAGUGCAAUUGAUUUAGGAUCUUUAAAUGUAAUUUAUACAAGUAAUA
Molecule: transfer RNA, 63 nt
Filed under: Nipponoluciola cruciata (Japanese firefly)
Lineage: Eukaryota; Metazoa; Arthropoda; Insecta; Coleoptera; Lampyridae
Description: Luciola cruciata (Japanese firefly) tRNA-Leu
Source: RNAcentral